This 1453-nucleotide ribosomal RNA is filed under the name Microbacterium sp. RNAcentral describes it as "bacterial SSU rRNA". It matches the Rfam family "Bacterial small subunit ribosomal RNA". Lineage: Bacteria; Bacillati; Actinomycetota; Actinomycetes; Micrococcales; Microbacteriaceae. The record is from RNAcentral.
CGGAGAGGCUCGUAGAGUAGAUCCUGGCUCAGGCUGGAUCAACCAUAUAUGGUUCUGUCCAUCAGUCGCGAACGAUCGAGUAAUACGAGAGCAAUCUGCCCCUGACUCUGGGAUAAGCGCUGGAAACGGCGUCUAAUACCGGAUACGAGCUGCGACCGCAUGGUCAGUAGCUGGAAAGAAUUUCGGUCAGGGAUGAGCUCGCGGCCUAUCAGCUUUUGGGAAACCUAAAGGCCCACCAAGGCCCCCACAAGAAUUUGGCUUAAGGGGGGGACCGGGCAAACUGGGAAUUUGACACGGGGGAGAUUUUUUUGCCCCCCAGCAUUUGGCCCCAAUGCAAAAGCUUUGAAUCCCAGGCAAAGUUUCCCCCUUUGAAGGUUGACCGCCUUCGGGUUGUAAACCUUUUUUCGGAGGGAAGAAGCGAAAGGGACGGUACCCGAAGAAAAAGCGCCGGGUAUCUACGUACCAGCAGCCGCCGUAAUACGUAGGGCGCCAGGGUUAUCCGGAACUAGUGGGCGUAAAGAGCUAGUAGGCCGUUGUUCGGUUCUGCUGUGAAAAUCCAAGGAUCAAGCUUGGGCCUGCAGUGGGUACGGGCAGACUAGAUUGUGGUAGGGGAGAAUGGAACUCCCGGAGUAGCCGUGGAAUGCGCAGAUAUCAGGAGGAACCCCGAUGACGAAGGCAGAUCUCUGGGACGUAACUGUCGCUGAGGAGCGAAAGGGUGGUGAGCAAACAGGCUGAGAUGUCCUGGUAGUACCCUUCGUAAAUGAUGGGAAACUAGUUGUGGGGUGCAUUUCACGGAUUCCGUGUCGUAGCUAUCGCAUUAAGUUCCCCGCCUGGGGAGUCCGGGCGCAAGGCUAAAACUCAAAGGAAUUGACGGGGACGCGCACAAGCGACGGAGCAUGCGGAUUAAUUCGAUGCAACGCGAAGAGCCUUAGCAAGGCUUGACAUAUAGAGGAAACGUCUGGAAACAGUCGCCCCGCAAGGUCUCUAUACAGGUGGUGCAUGGUUGUCGUCAGCUCGUGUCGUGAGAUGUUGGGUUAAGUCCCGCAACGAGCGCAACCCUCGUUCUAUGUUGCCAGCACGUAAUGGUGGGAACUCAUGGGAUACUGCCGGGGUCAACUCGGAGGAAGGUGGGGAUGUCGUCAAAUCAUCAUGCCCGUUAUAUCUUGGGCUUCGUGCAUGCUACAAUGUGCGGUACAAAGGGCUGCAAUCGCGUGAGGUGGAGCGAAUCGCAAAAACACGGUCCCAGUUCGGAUUGAGGUCUGCAACUCGUCCUCAUGAAGUGGGAGUCGCUAGUAAUCGCAGAUCAGCAGUCGCUGCGGUGAAUCCGUUACCGGGUGCAGUCUCCAUAGAGUUUAAAGUCACGAAAGGCGGGACCACCUGAAUCCGGUGGCUGAUGGCUGGAUCACCUCCUUAGAGUUUGAUUCCUGGCUCAGGCUGGUCACCUCUCUAGAGU